GGAAAACAGGAAGAGUGGAGCCUCCUGUGUGCAGUAAAUCCUGAAUAAUUUCAUGCUUUCCCUGACUCCAGAUCACUUCUCCAAGGAGAGCGCGAAUGAAUAACAGCAGCGCUUCGGAGGAGCUGGAGAACUGGGACUCGCACCCAACGGGGCUGCCGUGGGACCAAACGAACCCUAUCGGCACUGGCCGGUUUGACUCCGCGCAGGUGCCAUCUGGUGCCAGCUUCACCCGCUUUGUCGUAAUAACACGCUUUCAAUUAUUUUUUUUCUCGGCCUCGAUGUUUGAAGCCAACCGAAAGAACUACACGUCAUCAGUUGGUCCGGAAGGUCGGUGGGCUGGAGGACAACAAAAGAGACAGGAGGGCCUCUUUUCCAGUUCCUCUGACGCACCGUUUCUCGCUGUGGCAUGAUGCCUCCAGCAAAUACACACACGCCCACAGUGAAAAGCAUGAAUAAUCAUCUGCAUUCCAACUGUGCCCAGGUCAAGAACUCCAUCACUGCUUCUGCACACUGGAAUUCAUCGUAAUUGCAGUGCUCUUAUUUUUAAGGUUUUUUUUUUUUCUUAUAAGUGUCGCUAGUUAGUGCUUAACUAGUACUUAUAAAUAUCUGGUAUUUUUGCUCCGUUGUAGUUAGCUCUUGUGCUGGGUGCAUUGUUUGAAAUUCUUUCAUUGUAACUCAGACAUAAUAUAUAUAUGUAUAUAUACAAUAUAUAAUAAUUCAUAUACUGUAUUUGUGUCUGAUUUGAACAGAAAGCAGCCAAUUCUGCUCCGAGUAACAAGAUGGUGUGGCAUUUCGGCAUCGGUUUUCAGCCGUCCUUGCUAAUGUCAGCUGAUUUAAGAAUGCAGACAGCUGUCAUCCAUCAAUAAAGUGCUUACAUGUCUGAAUUUUGUUCUUUUG
This 897-nucleotide long non-coding RNA is filed under the name Scleropages formosus (Asian bonytongue). RNAcentral's name for it is "lncRNA (ENSSFOG00015027452.1)". Lineage: Eukaryota; Metazoa; Chordata; Actinopteri; Osteoglossiformes; Osteoglossidae. The record is from RNAcentral.